CUGGAUUAAUUGGACUAGCUGAAAAUAUAUCCCAUGUCCUUCAAGAAACUCUUCCACGGACUGAGCCUCACGCUUAAGAUAAAAUCCGCCCAGAUCUUUCUAUUAUUUCUCAACACGAGACUCACUCUCGUGCUGAUAAAUAGCCAGUCGAAACUCAUGAACAACCUAAGGGCUAGAUUGCCUUAUAAUCUACCUCUGAAAAUGACCGACAACUCACUAAAGUUGAGCUCACACUCAUCAUUCAGCAUCAAUCCAACCUGCUUAGGAAGCGUUCCAUCGAUGCCAUUCGGGAACUAUAUCCAGGGAUCCAGGAGUUCCCCGCCUUCAAAUAUUUUCUAAGGGAAAAAUUAGCCGACUUCCCUUUAUAUCAAAAGUUUGUCAAUGCUUGCUCUGCAGAUGCCAUAGAAGAUGCAAAGAGUAAGAUUAAAGAGGAAUUUCAAUUCACCAGCGUCUAUGAAGCCUACAACAAAUAAGAUGAAAUCAUCAUACUAAUGAUUAAGAAAACUAGGAAUGCUCAAUCCAGUACUUUAUCUUCUAGGAAAGAACAUGAUACUGAAGUUCCUCAGGCUAAAGAGACUCCGCAUACAUACAGUGAAAUAGUUGUCAUUUGCCAUUGAUCAAGCGUUGAAGCCAGCUAAAGAGAAAAUUGUUGUUCCUGCCACAAUCGAGGAACAAAAUGAUGUUCUUGCUCCUGAUGAGGCAAAAACUGAUGCUUAUACUACUAAUGAAGAUCGGCAUGAUGUUAUCGUCACCAAAUUUCUUUUGAAACUCUCGCUGGCAUUAUCAAUAAAGUUCUAAC
RNAcentral lists this long non-coding RNA (799 nucleotides) under Salvia miltiorrhiza (redroot sage). RNAcentral describes it as "long non-coding RNA (SMIL_LNC008632)". The record is from RNAcentral. Lineage: Eukaryota; Viridiplantae; Streptophyta; Magnoliopsida; Lamiales; Lamiaceae.